CCUACGGGUGGCUGCAGUGAGGAAUAUUGGUCAAUGGGCGGAAGCCUGAACCAGCCAAGUAGCGUGCGGGAUGAAGGCCCUACGGGUCGUAAACCUCUUUUGCACGGGGAUAACACCCUCCACUUGUGGACGUCUGCAGGUACCGGGCGAAUAAGCGCCGGCUAAUUCCGUGCCAGCAGCCGCGGUAAUACGGAGGACGCGAGCGUUAUCCGGAUUCAUUGGGCUUAAAGGGAGCGUAGGCGGGCUGUCAAGUCAGCGGUAAAAUGGCGGGGCUCAACCGCGCCCCGCAGUUGAAACUGGACGCCUUGAGUUCACAACAGGCAUGCGGAAUUCGUGGUGCAGCGGUGAAAUGCAUAGAUAUCACGAGGAACCCCGAUUGCGAAGGCAGCCUGCCGGGGUGCGACUGACGCUGAGGCUCGAAGGUGUGGGUAUCAAACAGGAUUAGAUACCCUAGUAGUC
This 459-nucleotide ribosomal RNA is filed under the name uncultured bacterium. RNAcentral's name for it is "partial 16S ribosomal RNA". It matches the Rfam family "Bacterial small subunit ribosomal RNA", at positions 338 to 795 of the family's 1533-position model. The record is from RNAcentral.